Molecule: long non-coding RNA, 1533 nt
Organism: Zophobas morio
Lineage: Eukaryota; Metazoa; Arthropoda; Insecta; Coleoptera; Tenebrionidae
Exons: 6
Source: RefSeq, a predicted model, not a curated record
AGUCAUAUUGCUUUUUGUAGUAAGAAGUUGUUUAUAUUAACCACUAAAGUUCACUUUAAGCUAAAUAGUGAACACUGUAUUUGAGUACCUUGAGUGUUUAAUAUGAGGGACUUUUACGUUGUGAACUUUCCUUAUUUAUUUUUAAAAACCUGAUUACAGAAAAGACAUACUGUUAUGGAAACGAAUAUUCUUGGUAGGUAUCUAACUAACCCAUUAAUUUAGUGAAACGAACUAAGCUACUACAAAUGGGCACUACUUUUAUAAGCAAACAUUAGGAAAGUAAUAGGAGAUCAAUAUGUACUAAAUGAAGUAAAGUCGUGGCUUUUCUCGAUUUAGCAGGGACAUGAAAAAUAUUUGAAAACAACCUUUUACGGAUUAACAGGCCACUUCCCGGAUUACACGGGUUGAUUGAAGGAGCCAAGACUGGAGUCAUUGGAAUGACAAGGGAACGCCUUUACUUCGCCGUAAUGCUUGCUAUCCCUGUCUUCGUGACGGUGACCAAAAACGACAAGUGCCCGUCGCCUGUACUUAAAAGGAAAGUCUACGAGGUAUCGCAUCAGUGCCAAAAGAGACCGGGUAUUAUAGGUGUUGUUUGUUUGCGGUUGUUAUAAAUGUGGUGUUAGAAAAAAGUCCAUUCUGGUAAACACAGAGUCGGACGUGGACACGGAAGUCGUUCGUUUUUCUUCAGGAAGGCAACCUAACCGCUAGUAUUUUUAGGAUAGGCAAGAGUAGUUUAUAAAUGUUUUCAAGUAGAUUAUGCCCCGUGUUUCAAGUGUCGAGCGUGAAAGUCGACUACCUUAACCUUCUCAUAAGCUUUCCGAAGAUAUUUUGCAAAGGGCGUAGGAAUAGUUGCCCACUGCAUAGGAUUGAAGGGGAAAAUAAACUGCAAUGACCCUUUGUUGUUAGGACCCGGCUUUGAUGGACUUUUUGAGGAAAUCUAAAUUACUUUGUGUCACCUCCUGUAACAACGCUAUUUUCAUUUUUUAUAAAGUAUCCGUUAAGAGUUUACGCAAAAGACGAACUGAAGUAGAGAGCAUUUGCGCCGGCAUUACUACUCAUAUCGCUGUAGCGUUAAAAUCUUUACGGUUUACUGAAAAGAAGAAUCGGCUUGCAUAGCUCUUGGAGGAGUGAAGAGGUGCAAUAUGUCCGUGAGGGAAAGGUUCUAGUAGAUUCAAAAUCGUCUUUGGAUAAAGUAGUUCAGGAAUUUGAGUGCAAAAUUACUGUUCUCAAUCACCACGCAACCAUUAAAGUUGGCUACCAGGUAGUUAAGAUUGACUUAGACGGCAGUUUUAUAAUAACAAAGAAUGCACGCAAGCACCAUAAGGCAAGCUGUGACACUGGCCGCCGUAGGGAAAGGGUAUCUAGGAGCGGUGAUAUCUCAUUAGGAAAGUUACGGUUGCUGCGUAGGCCAGAGUAUUUGAGUGUUAAUCAAAAGAUAGUUCUCAGAUACGGGUACACUAAAGCUGCGGGCACGGUGCACCUACUUGUCGCUUAUCUUGACCGACCUUUAAUUAUUAUAUUAGAUGGCCAAAC